This 380-nucleotide unclassified non-coding RNA is filed under the name uncultured bacterium. Its description in RNAcentral is "contains 16S-23S intergenic spacer region". The record is from RNAcentral.
UCCUAGUUAACCUAGGCAGUCUCGUUAGAGUUCCCGCCUCUACGCGUUGGCAACUAAGGACGGGGGUUGCGCUCGUUGCGGGACUUAACCCAACAUCUCACGACACGAGCUGACGACAGCCAUGCAGCACCUGAACCAGGAGUCCCCGAAGGGAAGGCCCCAUUUCUGGGGUUGUCUCCUGUUGUCUAGCCCAGGUAAGGUUCUUCGCGUUGCGUCGAAUUGAACCACAUGCUCCACCGCUUGUGCGGGCCCCCGUCAAUUCCUUUGAGUUUCAGCCUUGCGGCCGUACUCCCCAGGCGGGGCACUUCAUGCGUUAGCGCCGGUACUCCAAGGGUCGCUCCCCGGAGCACCUAGUGCCCAUCGUUUACGGCGUGGACUAC